RNAcentral lists this transfer RNA (69 nucleotides) under Limnichthys fasciatus (barred sand burrower). Its description in RNAcentral is "tRNA-His". It matches the Rfam family "tRNA". Rfam says of the family: Transfer RNA (tRNA) molecules are approximately 80 nucleotides in length. Their secondary structure includes four short double-helical elements and three loops (D, anti-codon, and T loops). Lineage: Eukaryota; Metazoa; Chordata; Actinopteri; Acropomatiformes; Creediidae. The record is from RNAcentral.
GUGAGCAUAGUUUAAAACAAACGUUAGAUUGUGAUUCUAAUAAUAGAGGUUGAACCCCUUUUGCCCACC